RNAcentral lists this non-coding RNA (573 nucleotides) under Hepatovirus A. RNAcentral's name for it is "Hepatitis A virus Hepatitis A virus internal ribosome entry site (IRES)". It matches the Rfam family "Hepatitis A virus internal ribosome entry site (IRES)". From Rfam's summary of the family: IRES elements allow cap and end-independent translation of mRNA in the host cell. The record is from Rfam by way of RNAcentral. Lineage: Riboviria; Orthornavirae; Pisuviricota; Pisoniviricetes; Picornavirales; Picornaviridae.
CAGGGUUCUUUAAUCUGUUUCUCUAUAAGAACACUCAAUUUUCACGCUUUCUGUCUUCUUUCUUCCAGGGCUCUCCCCUUGCCCUAGGCUCUGGCCGUUGCGCCCGGCGGGGUCAACUCCAUGAUUAGCAUGGAGCUGUAGGAGUCUAAAUUGGGGACGCAGAUGUUUGGGACGUCACCUUGCAGUGUUAACUUGGCUCUCAUGAACCUCUUUGAUCUUCCACAAGGGGUAGGCUACGGGUGAAACCUCUUAGGCUAAUACUUCUAUGAAGAGAUGCCUUGGAUAGGGUAACAGCGGCGGAUAUUGGUGAGUUGUUAAGACAAAAACCAUUCAACGCCGAAGGACUGGCUCUCAUCCAGUGGAUGCAUUGAGUGAAUUGAUUGUCAGGGCUGUCUCUAGGUUUAAUCCCAGACCUCUCUGUGCUUAGGGCAAACACUCAUUUGGCCUUAAAUGGGAUCCUGUGAGAGGGGGUCCCUCCAUUGGCAGCUGGACUGUUCUUUGGGGCCUUAUGUGGUGUUUGCCUCUGAGGUACUCAGGGGCAUUUAGGUUUUUCCUCAUUCUUAAACAAUAAUG